UGGGGAAUCUUGGACAAUGGGCGCAAGCCUGAUGCAGCAACGCCGCGUGCGGGAAGAAGGCCCUAGGGUUGUAAACCGCUUUCAGCAGGGAAGAAACUGACGGUACCUGCAGAAGAAGGUGCGGCCAACUACGUGCCAGCAGCCGCGGUGACACGUAGGCACCAAGCGUUGUCCGGAUUUAUUGGGCGUAAAGAGCUCGUAGGCGGUUCAGUAAGUCGGGUGUGAAAACUCUGGGCUCAACCCAGAGACGCCACCCGAUACUGCUGUGACUCGAGUACGGUAGGGGAGCGGGGAAUUCCUGGUGUAGCGGUGAAAGUGCGCAGAUAUCAGGAGGAACACCAGUGGCGAAGGCGCCGCUCUGGGCCGUAACUGACGCUGAGGAGCGAAAGCGUGGGUAGCAAACAGGAUUAGAUACCCUGGUAGUCCACGCCGUAAAACGUUGGGCACUAGGUGUGGGUCUCAACCAACGAGAUCCGCGCCGUCGCUAAACGCAUUAAGUGCCCCGCCUGGGAGUACGGUCGC
RNAcentral lists this ribosomal RNA (522 nucleotides) under uncultured bacterium. Its description in RNAcentral is "bacterial SSU rRNA". It matches the Rfam family "Bacterial small subunit ribosomal RNA", at positions 355 to 889 of the family's 1533-position model. The record is from RNAcentral.